RNAcentral lists this ribosomal RNA (497 nucleotides) under uncultured bacterium. RNAcentral's name for it is "partial 16S ribosomal RNA". It matches the Rfam family "Bacterial small subunit ribosomal RNA", at positions 28 to 507 of the family's 1533-position model. The record is from RNAcentral.
GAUGAACGCUGGCGGCGUGCCUAAUACAUGCAAGUCGAGCGAACGGGCGAGAAGCUUGCUUUUUUGAUGUUAGCCGCGCACGGGUGAGUAACACGUGGAUAACCUACCUAUAAGACUGAUAUAACCUCGGGAAACCGGAGCUAAUACCGGAGAAGAUUCUGAACCGCAUGGUUCAAUAGUGAAAGACGGUCGUUCUGUCACGUAUAGAUGGAUCCGCGCUGCAUUAGAUAGUUGGGAAGGUAACGGCUUACCAAGGCAACGAUGCAUAGCCGACCUGAGAGGGUGAUCGGCCACACUGGAACUGAGACACGGUCCAGACUCCUACGGGAGGCAGCAGUAGGGAAUCUUCCGCAGUAGUCGAAAGCAUGGCGGAGCAGCGCGGCGUCAGUGGUGGCGAUCUUCGGAUCGUAAUAAUGUGUUAUGAGUUAUGAACAUCUGUGUAAUUAACUGUGCACAUCGUGACGGUAAUUAAUCAGAAAGCCACGGCUAACUACGUG